AGUGAACGCUGGCGGUAGGCCUAACACAUGCAAGUCGAACGGCAGCACAGUAAGAGCUUGCUCUUACGGGUGGCGAGUGGCGGACGGGUGAGGAAUACAUCAGAAUCUACUUUUUCGUGGGGGAUAACGUAGGGAAACUUACGCUAAUACCGCAUACGACCUACGGGUGAAAGCAGGGGAUCUUCGGACCUUGCGCGAUUGAAUGAGCCGAUGUCGGAUUAGCUAGUUGGCGGGGUAAAGGCCCACCAAGGCGACGAUACGUAGCUGGUCUGAGAGGAUGAUCAGGCACACUGGAACUGAGACACGGUCCAGACUCCUACGGGAGGGCGCAGUGGGGAAUAUUGGAGAAUGGGCGGAAAGCUGAUCCAGCCAUACCGCGGGGGUGGAGGAGGCCCUCGGGUUGUAAAGCCCUUUUGUUGGGAAAAAAAAGCAGCAGGAUAAUACCCCGCUGGUCUGACGGUAACCAAAGAAUAAGCACCGGCUAACUUCGUG
Molecule: ribosomal RNA, 492 nt
Filed under: uncultured bacterium
Lineage: Bacteria
Description: partial 16S ribosomal RNA
Rfam family: Bacterial small subunit ribosomal RNA
Source: RNAcentral